UACGUAGGUGGCAAGCGUUGUCCGGAUUUACUGGGCGUAAAGGGAGCGUAGGCGGAUUUUAAAGUGAGAUGUGAAAUACCCGGGCUUAACUUGGGUGCUGCAUUUCAAACUGGAAGUCUAGAGUGCAGGAGAGGAGAAGGGAAUUCCUAGUGUAGCGGUGAAAUGCGUAGAGAUUAGGAAGAACACCAGUGGCGAAGGCGCUCCUCUGGACUGUAACUGACGCUGAGGCUCGAAAGCGUGGGGAGCAAACAGGAUUAGAUACCCUGGUAGU
Molecule: ribosomal RNA, 271 nt
Filed under: uncultured prokaryote
Description: partial 16S ribosomal RNA
Rfam family: Bacterial small subunit ribosomal RNA
Source: RNAcentral